Molecule: unclassified non-coding RNA, 254 nt
Filed under: Hevea brasiliensis (rubber tree)
Lineage: Eukaryota; Viridiplantae; Streptophyta; Magnoliopsida; Malpighiales; Euphorbiaceae
Source: RNAcentral
UUGCAUUUAGAGGGUGAAUAGAAGAAGUCAGCAAACAGCAACAAAGGUAGAUUGUUCAUAUGUGCAUACGAGUGUCCCAAUAUGGCAAAUACCCAGCGAACUGACAAAAACCAACCCAUCCAAUAAUUUUUUGGAAAGAAUUCUCCACGAUGACAAGCAAUCCAAUCACAUGCAGAAGAUUAGUCCAAGAUUUGCUGUGAGGCUUAAUAACACUUGAUCAUCCUGCCUGGAAACUAAGUUUGGGUUUGCCCUUU